This is a long non-coding RNA of Chenopodium quinoa (quinoa), 1179 nucleotides long. RefSeq lists it as uncharacterized. The record is from RefSeq and is a predicted model, not a curated record. The transcript has 2 exons. Lineage: Eukaryota; Viridiplantae; Streptophyta; Magnoliopsida; Caryophyllales; Amaranthaceae.
CUCGCAAAAGACAAAGCUUGCCUCUUCAUUUCACUUCCUAUCUUCACGGCUAAGCAAUGAACUAGCUUAGUCUAGUUUUGCUUUCUUGCUAUUUGUUGCUUAAAAUUUUAUGAUUAUCUUUAGCAAACUUGGUCAUUAUCCUUUCUUUCUUCCUAGCAGCAAGUAUAAGAAUAGCCAUAAAGUUCGACGGCUAAAUUAAAAAACAUCACUAAUAGCUUUAUCACAACCACCGCCACCCCUACUUGUUCAAGGCGGUGCCACCCCUCCCUUGCCGUUGACAAGUCACCCCGACGCGGCCUCUGAUUGCAGCCCACUCUUCUUCUUUCUCCAUGUUCGUGAUAUAUAUGUUCUGUUCUUACCGAGACACAAGUGGUCUUUUAAAACCAAGUUCUUGAAUUGAACCUACUUCUUUUCAAUAUCACCAAAGUGAGUUUACUUUGUUACUUUUAAUUUUGGUUAUGACUCUUAUGAGAAUGAUUUCAUACUUUGUAUUUCACUAUUACUUUUCCUUGAUAAUAAUAACAUGAGUAGUACCUAUGUUAUGCUAUUUUAUACUUGUUUAUUUUCUAAAAUAAUCACUUGACAUAAGAAAUGAUUUUACUGUAUUUCGUAUGAUAAAUCCUCUAAAAUGAGUCUUAUUAAUGCUUUCAUACUUAAAUUAUUAAAGAGAUUAGAGUUUUCAAUUCAUUUACUCUACUAAUAUGAAUAGUAGUAUGUAGUAUCUAUUUUAUAAGUAGUUCUUGUUUUACUCUGAAUUAUGUAACAGUUGUUUUAUUCUAUGAAAAUAAGUUAAUAUUUGUUUUUAUCAAAGAUUUUGAAUUAAGGAAGUUACUAAUGAGUAUUUAUUAUUAUUGGGUAUGAUCAAAUGAGUCAUGACAAUGAGGAACUAAUGACGGAGGUUGAGAGUUCGAAUAAUGAUUAUUGGAGAAUGAGUGAGAUGAUUAAAGAUGAUCAAAUUAGGGAUAAUGAUGACAGAGCUGAAGUUAAUCUAAAGCAAAGGGAUUAAAGGAAUUUAUUUAGUUCAGGGAUUAUGGAAUCAAGGCUUAUGUAUUAGGGAUCAUCGAGAGCUGAGAUAUAUUGAUUAUUUUAUUACAGUAAGGAAGACUGGAGUUGUAUUUUUUUUAUUGAAUAUUCUCAUUAAGGAGUAUGUUUAUUUGUGGGCCUAUAACCCACAGGUGG